Molecule: long non-coding RNA, 3286 nt
Organism: Cercocebus atys (sooty mangabey)
Lineage: Eukaryota; Metazoa; Chordata; Mammalia; Primates; Cercopithecidae
Exons: 5
Source: RefSeq, a predicted model, not a curated record
AACCAUGGCAGGCACAUUGCCACCAUCAUUCAAGCUGGUAGCAUCCCCACUUGAGGGGUAAGAGACCGAAUCACGGAGCGUUUGCAUGAGUGGUGGACUCAGGAUGGGACCCCAAACCUUUUGCUUCUAAUUCCACAGCUUGUUUCCAUAAGAAUUCACUUACUGAACUUGCACUGAUGUGUUUGUUCACUGCCUGUGUGUUGUCUACUAGGUGCUGGGCACACUUGUGAACUGAAGAGAAUCAAAACCCUUCCUUUGUGGAAUUUGCCUUCUAGCAAGAGAAACAGAUAAGGAGCAGGAAAUAGGAGCACAGUGUAGGGUGUGAACAGUGACAAUAAAACCGGCGGAGGUGCCAGGGAGAGUUGCAAUUUGAAAUGAAGUGCCAGGGUGGGCCUCACCAGAAGCUACAGCUGAGCAGCGGAGCCGAGGAGAGAUGUGCUUCCAGGAGGACCCUUCUAGGAAGAGGGAGGCAUGCUGAGAUGGGGUUCGGAAGACAAGUCGGGAAAAGAGAGGCGUCAAGGUCAUCAAUGCAUGAAGGGAUUUAAACCCACAAGCCUGGACAAGACCACCAAGAAGGGAAAAGCAAGGCCCCAAGGACUGAGGCCUAGACCAUGGCCACCGCGAGAGCUCAAAGGACCCAAAGGGGCAGCAGAGGAGGCAGAGCAGAGUGAAAAUGGACUAAUAGAAUGAGCUACUCCCUAAGUGCUGGCAGAACUGACACCACCAUUCCCCUUCCUUUAUCUGUCCUGUUGGUUACAGCCAUUGUGCUAAGAGGAGAGGAAAGCACGUCUUGUGAUCUGCUCACCAGCCCUGUGAUGAGGGCCUUAUAUCCACGUGUUACAGAUGAGCUGAGAGGUUCGAGUUCCACUGAGGCCUGACUGCUGUCUGGCCGCCUUCCUGGGAAUGCACGCGGCAUGGAAUGAGCUGGGUUUCUCUCACCCUUCUCCAGCACUGCCAGGACCAGAGUCUGGCCAUCUUAACCUGGACUCAUCCGUGCCUGAAGCCAAACACACCCUGGGCGUCCCAGGAAGGAGCAGGUUUCCUGCACUCCCAGCUGAAAGACUGUUACUCCUGGGUCUCCUCUCCACAAACAAGCGAGGGAAGAGAAAGUGACCCAGGGCUCCGUGAGCGCCAGCCCGAAGCAGCAGCAAUGGCAGGGCAUUGGGCGGUGGUUUUCUCAUACAUGAGAAAUUAACUCCUCCAGAAGCCUUUUGCAGAGAAGUCAAAGUAUUUUUUUAAAAAGAAGAGGAGACAGGAAGACGGUCUUUAAAGUGAAACUCCUAAUCAUCCUGUGAUAACAAUGAAACCUGAUUUUCCUGUCAACCGCUACCUGCUGGGUUACAUGCUGCAUUUUAACUCCUUGUAAUCCUCAGAAGGCAAAGGAUUUUUAAAUCAAUGUUUUAAAAUUGUAUUUGCAAAUCACUUUCUUCUGUCAAGUGUUUUGUCGCCUCUGUGGUCCCUGAGCAAACACACAGACAGCCCACAUGGUGUUUGCAAGUCUGCACAUUGAGGAUCUGGCAUUUAAGUUUAACAUUGAUUCUGCCGUGAUUAACAUGAAUGCCACUUCGAGUAUCUCAUUGCCCUCUGCCAGCCUUGGUUUCCUCAUCUGUACAAUGGAGACAAUAACAUUACCAUUGUCAUUUUGUGUAGCUCUGGGAUUUUGUGCCUGGCCUGUCACAAGUCAGUACAUAGUAUUUAUUGUUAAAUGGCAGCUGCUCACACCUGCCACCACUUAGGAAGUUCUUGUCAUGCUCAAUAUGACCUGAAGACUAGGGGCGGAGAUGGGAGGCUGGGAGAGAACCCGGCCCAGUUGCUUCCUGAGGAGCUGACACCUCUGCUGACAGAGCACACCAGCCCGCAAGCCGCCCCUCGCUCAGCCUCACAGCAGCGCAGGACGUCUGCAUCAUCUGCAAAUUUGAUUUUGUUUGUGACACAAUUUUUAUUAGUUGGAAAUUUCAAACGCUGUCAUUCUUUUAUAUUCUUUAUCAGUAUCCUGUUCAGAAACCAAAGCAUUGACCCACCCAUUUCACAGAGAAUGGAGACAAAGAGUGAGUGAGUGUCUAGUACACACAGCAACCACUUCUUGGAGUACAAGUAGGGCUGGACCCCAGCUCUGCCACAUUCUCAUUCAGGCAUUUGAGAUAAAAACUCAGCCUUCCACUGCCUAAGUUCGGAGGGGAACGUGUGGCCCCACACACCUGGGGAACUAACUAGGGCCACAGGCUCCAGGUCACCUCGAACACGCGGCUCCACAGAAGCUGCCGGGGUCCCACCCCUGCGCCUCCCUCCGCUCUGUGCACCUCCCUUGGUUUGGUUCUUGAGACAGGCACCUGCAAGCACAGGCACAGGCUCGCCAGACUUCAUCUCCCCAGGGCAGAGGGGCCGCCUUUUCCUGAACCUUCCAGAGGACUGACCCAGGGGAGGGUUCCGAUUGCUCCUCCUGGAUCACACACUCAGCUGCGGCCGGCUCUGGGACCCAGAGGAGGUGGCAGGAGUGACCCACCAGGGCCAGGGUCGGCCUUGCUCUCGGCCUUGCUCUCGGGAAGUGGAGGAAGCCCCACCCUAACUGCUUAAGGAAGCUUCCUCUGGGGAAGAAAGCCGCGGUCUCUGGUCUUGGAGGACAGGAGGUGGAGGUGGGGCCUGGAUAAAGGAUGGCCACUACCCAAGCAGACCAGUGCAGGUAUCUAGGGACCGCUGUUCCUGGGCAUCCGCAAGAACGUUUUUAUUAUGCAAGUUACACAUGGAGUCAUUUCCUUGUCAAAAGAAAACCUCACUUCACAGACGACUGACAAUGCUGGUUGGCCCUGCACCCCACCUCCACGGCACCCCCAGCGCUGCAGCUGGUCUGGUUUGCUGUGUCUUCACUACCCUUCUCCACACUGACACACAGAAACCAACAGGAUUAGAAAAUAAACAGCACCAUGCUGGGGCUCGGUGCUACAUGUUUUCAGUAGAUUCGGACUAAACACAUUGCUCUGAAAAUUACUUUAUUUAAUUAAAAAGAUGCUGGGGUUGUCCCUUGUCAUAAAAACUUAGGUUGUUUCCAAUUUUUCACUGUUCAAAAACAUACACAGCAAUUAAUAUCCCUGCAUAUAAUUCACAGUACACAUAGGGUAAUCUUUUUGCCUAUGACAGACAUUGACAAUAAUUUCUGGCUUAUAUAGUAUAUUGUUAAAUAAACUGACUUUAUAAUUUCAAAACUCAGAACAGAGAAAGCUCCAGGCCUUGACGUCUUUUUAAUGAAUUCUACCGAACAUUUAAAAAAGCAACAACACGAAACUUACAA